Molecule: ribosomal RNA, 433 nt
Filed under: uncultured bacterium
Lineage: Bacteria
Description: partial 16S ribosomal RNA
Rfam family: Bacterial small subunit ribosomal RNA
Source: RNAcentral
AACGAACGCUGGCGGCAUGCCUAACACAUGCAAGUCGAACGAGACCUUCGGGUCUAGUGGCGCACGGGUGCGUAACGCGUGGGAACCUGCCCUUAGGUUCGGAAUAACUCCCCGAAAGGGGUGCUAAUACCGGAUAAUGUCUUCAGACCAAAGAUUUAUCGCCUUUGGAUGGGCCCGCGUUGGAUUAGCUAGUUGGUAGGGUAAAAGCCUACCAAGGUGACGAUCCAUAGCUGGUCUGAGAGGAUGAUCAGCCACACUGGGACUGAGACACGGCCCAGACUCCUACGGGAGGCAGCAGUGGGGAAUAUUGGACAAUGGGCGAAAGCCUGAUCCAGCAAUGCCGCGUGAGUGAUGAAGGCCUUAGGGUUGUAAAGCUCUUUUACCCGGGAUGAUAAUGACAGUACCGGGAGAAUAAGCUCCGGCUAACUCCGUG